CGUAACGCGUAUGCAAUCUACCUUUAACUGGUGAAUAGCCCGAAGAAAUUCGGAUUAACACACCAUAGUAUAAUUGAGUGGCAUCACUUAAUUAUUAAAACUCCGGUGGUUAAAGAUGAGCAUGCGUGACAUUAGCUAGUUGGUGAGGUAAUGGCUCACCAAGGCUACGAUGUCUAGGGGAUCUGAGAGGAUUAACCCCCACACUGGUACUGAGACAGGGACCAG
RNAcentral lists this ribosomal RNA (225 nucleotides) under uncultured bacterium. RNAcentral describes it as "partial 16S ribosomal RNA". It matches the Rfam family "Bacterial small subunit ribosomal RNA", at positions 109 to 334 of the family's 1533-position model. The record is from RNAcentral.